Molecule: transfer RNA, 85 nt
Filed under: Candidatus Aenigmatarchaeota archaeon
Lineage: Archaea; Nanobdellati; Candidatus Aenigmatarchaeota
Description: tRNA-Gln
Rfam family: tRNA
About the family: Transfer RNA (tRNA) molecules are approximately 80 nucleotides in length. Their secondary structure includes four short double-helical elements and three loops (D, anti-codon, and T loops).
Source: RNAcentral
AGCCCCGUCGUCUAGUGGCCAAGGAUGAGAGGCUUUGGGACGAGGAAACCUCUUGACGCAGGUUCGAAUCCUGCCGGGGCUACCA